GGCAAAUAUGCCAGGGAAUGAAUCCUGAGAAUUUUGGAAGGAGUGGAAUUGGGACAGAGGUGAAUACAAGGCUGGGUCUUAUCCUGAUUCCUACUGGUUCCACUUUCUCCUACCUGCUGAAUGGUACCUUUAAGAAGAAAGGAAAGUUUAAAAGGAAGGAGAGCAAAAAGAAGGUAUUUUCAUGUCUGUAUGGCUAAUGUGACCUGUAAAUAAACCAUAACAGAGAAGUGGGCCUGGAUCAAUUACUGAACAUGAAUAAUAACAAAAAUAUUUCUUUACAUUUCUAGAGUUUAGAGUUCUAGAAUUUUCAAAAUGCUCUUACACGUAUAAUCUCAUUUUACCAUAAUGGUUUCAUGCAGCAAGCAGGAAAGUGUAGGAAGGCUCAGAAUGUCAAAAUCUUUCAUGAAAUCUUU
Molecule: long non-coding RNA, 413 nt
Filed under: Mustela putorius furo (domestic ferret)
Lineage: Eukaryota; Metazoa; Chordata; Mammalia; Carnivora; Mustelidae
Description: lncRNA (ENSMPUG00000027458.1)
Source: RNAcentral